RNAcentral lists this ribosomal RNA (801 nucleotides) under Triticum aestivum (bread wheat). RNAcentral's name for it is "partial small subunit ribosomal RNA". The record is from RNAcentral. Lineage: Eukaryota; Viridiplantae; Streptophyta; Magnoliopsida; Poales; Poaceae.
AUGAGCGACGACCCAGGGGUCGGCGAGUGGCAACAGAUGCGGGACACCAACUGGUGGCGCAACGGACAGCGAGAGGCGGGACACCAACUGGGCGCGCCUCUCGCGGCCGACUUCCACGGCGGCGACGUUGUUUACCUUGGCGCCUGCUUCUUUCCGACUCAGCGAUCCCCGCGGGCACCGAUGGACGGCGACGGGCAGCACGUGCGGCCGCGGAGCCGCGCGCUCCUGACCGACGACGAGGAUGACGGGACGUACGCCAGCGACGUGUACAGCGGCAACCUCGCCACGGGCGGGUCUCGUGCUGGCGGCAUCUUGGGCGGUAGCAGUACUUGGUGCAGCGCCGCCACGGCGACUACGGCAGCGUCGGGGUCAUCGUCGUCCUCAUCCGCACAGGGAAGCUGGACUGGGAGGUUUACUGCUUCCGGUCGGCAGACGAUGGAUAUGACGCUAUGCCCAGCACGAGUGCUAACGCCAUCACGGCCGGCACCACUGGCACCAGCAGCCGUUCGGUGUGCUCUCCGGCAUGCUGCAGUCGAAGGGUCGAGCAGGAGCUAUGGAUGCCAGCAAACAAGCCUGUGCAGACGGCAAUGCAUCAAUCAAAUCGGAUGGAGAACAUCACACAACAGCCUUUCUCCAGGACAUAAAGAAAAUGGUGGCACUUUGGGUUUUGAAGACGCCGCCUCGCGUAGGACUACGAACAUGGGACGCUCAGUCGAGUUUUUCUUAACUCGUCAGGAUUCUCAUGCUGCAAAUUUAGUAACGGGGCAAAUUUUUUGGUGUCCUGUUGUGUUUGCGGAUUGA